RNAcentral lists this ribosomal RNA (253 nucleotides) under uncultured bacterium. RNAcentral's name for it is "partial 16S ribosomal RNA". It matches the Rfam family "Bacterial small subunit ribosomal RNA", at positions 524 to 776 of the family's 1533-position model. The record is from RNAcentral.
UACAGAGGGUGCAAGCGUUAAUCGGAAUUACUGGGCGUAAAGAGUGCGCAGGUUGUAAUUUAAGUGUUAUGUGAAAUGCCAGGGCUUAACCCUGGAAUUGCAUAAUAGACUGAGUUACUAGAGUCUUGUAGAGGAUAGCGGAAUUCCCGGUGUAGCGGUGAAAUGCGUAGAUAUCGGGAGGAACAUCAGUUGCGAAGGCGGCUAUCUGGACAUAGACUGACACUGAGGCACGAAAGCGUGGGUAGCAAACAGG